This 458-nucleotide long non-coding RNA is filed under the name Arabidopsis lyrata. RNAcentral's name for it is "long non-coding RNA (ALYR_LNC002334)". The record is from RNAcentral. Lineage: Eukaryota; Viridiplantae; Streptophyta; Magnoliopsida; Brassicales; Brassicaceae.
AUAAAUCGGUACAACUGGUACAAAUAGUUAUGGACAACUGGUACAAAUGGUUCUACUGAAACAAAGCAAUUUGUAAUUCUAAACCCUAAUUCUAAACUCUAGCGUCGUCACACUCAAUAAUUUGUCUCUUCUUGCUUUGUUCACUAUCGUUGUCGCCGAUUAUCACCAUCACCCUUCCUCGUCGAAGUUUGUGGACCGUCUUCUCUCACCAAACGAUUGUGCACUACAAAUGACGAAAGCACGAAGAGAAAUCCAUGGAGAAGAAGCUUGAAGAGAGAUCCAUGAUUUUUAAAUCUCAGAAAUCCAUGGAGAAGAAGCAUGAAGAGAGAUCCGAUCUAUAAAGAAGUGCGAAGAGAGAUCCAAGAAGAAGAAAAGAUCUAGAGUUUUAUUGAUGAUGAUGAUGGAGAAAAAGAGAAUGAAAGAUCUAAAAAACCCAGAAAAAGUAAAGAAGAAGGAGA